Molecule: long non-coding RNA, 329 nt
Filed under: Marmota monax (woodchuck)
Lineage: Eukaryota; Metazoa; Chordata; Mammalia; Rodentia; Sciuridae
Source: RNAcentral
GCUGAUGAUGUCACCAGUGAUGCAAUUUUUCCCAAGGAGCCGUCAAUUGGCUUGGUGUCGUGGCAUUUCUGUAUCCUCCUCCCUUCUGCUAGUGAUGGUCUAAAAUUUGGGGGCCAAUGGCGUAUGCUGGACCGGUAGUCAGUGACGGGUAUGAUCCAAUUGCAGUGGUAUCAACCUAAGACAGGAGGCUGACGCCUAAAGGUCAGUUUUCCGAUGACGGGUAAGAACCAUAUGUUGAAUUGGACAACCUACCAGGCACGGUCCUUAAGCCACAUUGCUUGUUGUUUAAUUAAUCAGAAGGGGGGAGAUGCUGGGAGCCAUUAGCCAAG